Molecule: ribosomal RNA, 373 nt
Filed under: Onisimus glacialis
Lineage: Eukaryota; Metazoa; Arthropoda; Malacostraca; Amphipoda; Lysianassidae
Description: eukaryotic LSU rRNA
Rfam family: Eukaryotic large subunit ribosomal RNA
Source: RNAcentral
UCGACUUAGGAGGGAUUACCCGCUGAACUUAAGCAUAUCAGUAAGCGGAGGAAAAGAAACCAAUCAGGGAUUUCCUUAGUAAGUGCGACCGAACAGGAAUAAGCCCAGCGCAGAACCUCCCGGGCCACCCGGCCUGCGGCGGAAUGUUGCGUAAAGGGAAAGAUCGUAUUCAAACCCUACAACCUCACGAACUCUAAGUAAGCCACGAAUCGGCUAUCCCGUCUAACGUCGGGAGUGACUCCAUGGAGGGUGUAAGACCCGUGUGGGCGUGUGUCAAUGUUGUAUGGGCUCGAUCUCUUCCCUGAGAGUCGCGUUGCUUGAGAAUGCAGCGCUAAGCAGGUCGUAAACUCGAUCUAAGGCUAAAUAUUCCACA